RNAcentral lists this ribosomal RNA (426 nucleotides) under Thermococcales archaeon T30a-82. RNAcentral describes it as "bacterial SSU rRNA". It matches the Rfam family "Archaeal small subunit ribosomal RNA", at positions 996 to 1412 of the family's 1478-position model. The record is from RNAcentral. Lineage: Archaea; Methanobacteriati; Methanobacteriota; Thermococci; Thermococcales.
GGCCGCCGUCAGCUCGUACCGUGAGGCGUCCACUUAAGUGUGGUAACGAGCGAGACCCGCGCCCCCAGUUGCCAGUCCUCCCCGCUGGGGAGGAGGCACUCUGGGGGGGACCGCCGGCGAUAAGCCGGAGGAAGGAGCGGGCGACGGUAGGUCAGUAUGCCCCGAAACCCCCGGGCUACACGCGCGCUACAAUGGGCGGGACAAUGGGAUCCGACCCCGAAAGGGGAAGGGAAUCCCCUAAACCCGCCCCCAGUUCGGAUCGCGGGCUGCAACUCGCCCGCGUGAAGCUGGAAUCCCUAGUACCCGCGUGUCAUCAUCGCGCGGCGAAUACGUCCCUGCUCCUUGCACACACCGCCCGUCACUCCACCCGAGCGGGGUCUGGAUGAGGCCUGAUCUCCCNUNCGGGAAGGUCGGGUUCGAGUCUGG